Molecule: ribosomal RNA, 408 nt
Filed under: uncultured bacterium
Lineage: Bacteria
Description: partial 16S ribosomal RNA
Rfam family: Bacterial small subunit ribosomal RNA
Source: RNAcentral
AUUGAACGCUGGCGGCGUGCCUAAUACAUGCAAGUCGAACGGAGUGGCGCACGGGUGCGUAAUGUAUAGCUAAUCUGCCCUACACUAGAGGACAACAGUUGGAAACGACUGCUCAUACUCUAUCGUGUAGGAUGAGGCUAUAUGGUAUCAGCUAGUUGGUGAGGUAAUGGCUCACCAAGGCUAUGACGCAUAACUGGUCUGAGAGGAUGAUCAGUAAAACGGGAACGGAGACACGGUCCAGACGCCUAAGGGAGGGAGCAGUAGGGAAUAGUGAUCAAUGGGGGAAACCCUGAAGCAGCAACGCCGCGUGGAGGAGGACACUUUGCGGAGAGUAAACUCCUUUUGUUAGGGAAGCGGUACCUAACGAAUAAGCACCGGCUAACUCCGUGCCAGCAGCCGCGGUAAUAC